UUUAUGUAGGAUUUUAAAGCAAACCCCUAUAAAAGCAGCAUCUUGCCUGUGUUAAACACAAAGCAUGGCACUGCCAUCUCUGGUCGGCUGACAGAAAGCUCAGCGCUUGCCCCCUCGCCAGGACCGUUCAAAAUUAGUGAUGAAGUGGGGGCUGCAGUCCUUAACAGCUCCAAGCAAAGCCUCUUGGUUACAAGGUGUUUUACAAUCCUCCUGGCAUUCCCUGUAAUGAGCUGCAAGCCCUGUUUGAAUUCCCUUGUACUUAAGUUUUUAUUUAUUUGUUCCAUUUUCCUCCCCAUGCAUCCCAGGGCUCCUUUAAUACCCCAGCCGGUGCAAUGGCAACGCUGCUGGGGGGUGUGUUGGGCAGAGCAGUUGUGAGCCUUCCCUGGGUUGAUGUGAUGGAAGAAACUAUAUAGCGUUGAUGCUGCUCCAGCUCUUUUAAGUGGUCCCUUGGUCAGGACUCAGUGUCAUGUAGGUAAAUUCAAUCCAGAAGAAGCGGAUUUUUGGGUGGAAUUUUUACAUUCAUCUCUCACAGCUGUGGAGAGUUUAAACUAAUCACAAUUCUCCCUGGUAUGCUAUCAUCUCUGUAAUUUGAAAAAGGAUCAGGAGCCCACAGGCUUGGAAAAUCUUGAAGAAACUCUUGUCCUGAAAUACAUCAUCACAUGUGGAAAAGACCACUUGCUGCAUCAUCUUAAAGGAGCUUAAUGCCGAAAUCCAGUAUCAUUCUGGCAUUCGUUCAAAUGGCCUUAGAAAUCCGAGUACAUUCUCUCUUGACUGCAAAACAGCUUCUUUCCUUUUCCAUCAAUACUGUGGCUGUCAAUGUGUCUGCUGUAAGGUGCCAAAAAUGUAUGGAGUGUCUCUGGGAUAAUGGUGCCAAAGUUGGGGUGCCUCAAGGCCUUCUCCCAUGAACCCACUGCAGCAUUUGCUCAGUUGGAAAGCAUCUGAAGGGAAAAAAAAAGAAAAAAAAAAAAAGAAAAAAAAAAAGAGGCACGGAUCUUUAAAAUUCCUCUGCAAAGGAAUUAAAAAAAAACUGCAGAUAUUAUUUUUGUGCAGAUUACUGCUUGCUGUUUAGAUCCUUGUUGUUCAAAACUUCUGAAAGGCCCAAAGCAAUCAAAGAGACUGGGUCAAAUUAAUUCCAGACCAGCCCCUGGAAUCACAUUGAGGUGAAGCUGACGUACUGGGCCUUCAGCUAAGCUGUGGCCAGGAGAAGUAUAGGAGACAGGAGUUGAGGUCACAUCCUGAAUUUUGCCCUCUCUUAGGAGAUGAGUGAAUUAAUUUGUGCAAAUCAUGAGUCUUGCUGACUGCAUGGGGCUUGUAUCGGUGCAAACAGAAUGGUUACUGACUGCUGAGGUCUGGAAAAGUGUCAAUCUCAAGUGCAGAACAAUCAUUUUGUCUGGCAACAUUUAUUUAUUUAUUUAUUUUAUUUAAAAAAGACUCUUAAUAGUGUAUCCUCAGGAAGAGAGGACAGAAAGCUGGAAGACUGGCCUGAGUAGAAGCCGUCAUGGUCUCUAAACCACAAGCCACUGCAAGCCUUCUCAGCUGUGUUGAUAAAACUAGCUUUUGGCAGCACAGUGAUGAGGACAAAAUAACUUCCUAGAGCAGGAUGUUAAUUUACCUCCCGUGUUUUCUCUGGGAGAACAAAGAGAACCUUAAUUGAAGCUGAUCAGAGCUUUCCUCAGCUCCCUUCUCUGAAUGAUCGAUCUCUAGUGCUCAGGCGAUGAUAAAGGCUGGCAGAGCCGGGAAGUACCGAAGCUACCAUUUCCUCUGUGCUGUGCUACCUGCAGCCAGCCAGGAGGGAAAUAAAUGCAGGGAGGCCUUCUUCUUGAUGUGGUGAUGACAUGUUGCAGCCCUUUCUGCAUUUCCAGCUCUUGCCCCAGAAGCUGGGGUGGAGGCAGGAGCACAGCAGCUGCCUGUCACCAAGGUGUUGUGCUGCCUUCAGCAAAUGUAAAUGGGUCAUGCCCCAUUUUUCAACCAGUCCAACUUCUUGUGCCCAGUCACAAGUUAUUGCUCUAAUCCUGUUCCUGGUCACACUCCAGUAUAAUAUCAUUUUGAGCGACACCAUGCUUAUUUUCCAGUAGUGGUGCAGUGCAUUAACAUGAGUAAAUUCAGGCCGAAUGUAGAUUCUUGGCCAUAAUUUAGCCAGUAGUAAGCAUUUCUGUGGAUGAAAUUAUUCUCUGUAAAGAUAUCAGAUUGGGAGACAACUUCUUGAAAGACUACUUGGCAGCAAAAGUAGCACUGUGUGCAAGAUUCCUGGUGUAAUGUUAUUCAUUUGUGAUGUUGAGAGACAGCCUUGGAUCAGAGGACCGUAUAAGCUGGAGGCCAAUUCAGUCUUGGACUUCACUGUUGAUCCUUCCAUCAAAGGUGCCAGCUCAGAGCGUGGAUUUUCAGCUUGGUUUUCUGGCACAGCUGCCUCACCCGUGAGGACCAGACUGGCAUUAGGACUGGAACAACUUUCAGUUACUUCCAACCUUUCCUCAGAUUAAUCAUUUCAGGCUUAGGGUGUGUAAGCAACCAUCACCUGGUUCCUAGACUAUCCACUUCUCUUGCAUAGGGAGAUAUUCCUGAGGAGAGCAGCUGUGUCCACAGUGGCAACCUGAGCCCUUGUUGUCAGGAUUAUACAUACUUUUGGAUGUUUGUAGCCACACGUGCCCAUUUUCAAAUGAAUGUAAUAGUUUGGCAUUUACCUAGGGAAGGAUAAAGUUUUCAGGAUAGUACGCAAAGCAGAAAAACACUUGUCUAUGAGCCUUUUCAUGAACCUGGUGUAGUCUUGAAAACUGCCUACAAACAUGACAUUUUGACCUCCAAGAGGGCAUAACAAACACUGGAAAGUCAUUUCUGGAAAAAUAAAAAACAACCCCAAACUAUUAGCUUCUAAGGAAGUGUAUCAAGAAAGUCACACUUGCAAAUCAAUGAUAAUUAUGUGUAACUUCAAAUAAAAAUGGUGUUGCCAGGCACAAUGUGGCUUUGCUGCACCUGCAUUCUCUGGCACUGAGGGUGUCUGUCCCUGUAAAGUAGGGCAGAGGGAGGCACAGUGAUAAAGCAGGGUAAUGCAGGGGAAGCAUCUCAUCACAAGGCAAAAAUAUUUCAAUCUAAAAGAUAGAAAUAAUAAUUAGCAGUAAAUUUAAAAUAACGGGUGGGCCAGGAAGGACCGAAGCUGCGGAACACGAGUAGUAAGGAGCAGGCGUCCAGCAGAGAGGACCAGGGGCUAUAGUGGAAAAAUCCUUCCUACUUGCUGCCCAUUGCACAGCUGCGGCGAGAGACAAACAGCAUGCAAGGCCAUCCUAGCUGAGGGACACGGGAGUUGAAACCAAAGCAGCGAUAGUAUUACAUCACCCUUGCCAAGGCUGGAAAAUAUUUUUAAGGGAUGAUUCUCCAGAUGAAUUGUGAGCUGGGAACAACGAGCCUGUAAGCCAUGGGGUCGUGGUGUGAGUAUGCACGUGAAGGCCCAGCCCAAAGGCACAGAGGAGAGGAAUUUAAGGAAGAUUAUGUGGUCAAAUCUGAAUCUAUGUGCUGCGUGGCUUCUCUGUCUACCUAUAGCUGUGGCAUCAUGCGUGUGGUAAAGCUAGCAGUUUGAGGUAGUCUAGUUUCAGAGCCCUCAGCAGAACAGACUUGGAUAUUUCUUCCUUAGUCGCCAGGAUGCUGCAUCUCAGGGGAAGUUGGAUGUGGCAAAUUACAGGGUUGGUGUUCUCACAUUGGAGGUUCCAGAUAUAUUCCUUUGUUUUACUGCAUAAUAUGUACCUGGUUUCUGGUACAAGAAUGCUGGUCAGUGAAAAUAUAUGUUAGCAUUUGUGUAAUACAUGAUUCUGUCUAUUUGCAUGUGUGACUUUGUAUACGUGCAGUCUUCAGUUAAAAUGACUUAGAAGUAAACCAAGAGGAGCAAUGCCUUUUGCAGUUUCCUUUUAACAUUUCUCUCUUGGAGCUUGAUAAAUGCUAAAAAGAAACCUUAAUCUCUGUAAGUCAGUAAUGAACUUUUAAUUUUGGACUUGAAAUAAAGAGUUUUUUUCCAGGUCAGAUAUUGAAAAGUGUAGUUUUCUAAAGGGGGAAUGUUUAAAGGUGAAGUCAUAGAAAAUAAAAGCUAGAACCCCACUGAUUUCAGUGGUGCCAGGGUUACAUAUUGAAGGUGAAAAUCCAGUCCAUCUAAUUGGAAGUUUCAUUGCUUCUUGCUUGAGGACACGAACUGGUGGCUUUCCUUCCAGCUCCAAGUCAUGUCUCCCAGCAGAGGGCAUUGCAGGGUGACAUUACUGUUUUUAGAACAAGCUGGCAAAAGGUAAAGUGAAUUUCAAGGAGCUGUUUAACUGCUCUAAAAUUUAUUUUAAUGACCUCCACUGGGAGAGUAGAUUAUCAGUCAUUUAAAACCAAAGAUGCCGCUAGUGAACUGUGUAGUUGGAAGAUAAAGGGAAUUUUUCCUUGCAUUCUGAAAAACCUUUAUGCCAGAAAGAGAAAACUAGUGCCAGAAAGUGUUUGCUCUUCAGAGUCUCUAUCACACAAUUUAUUUUCCUCUCUUAAAUGACACUGUAGGCUGAACUGCAAAGGCUUGUUUCAGGCUCAGACCCUCUCGACAUUCUGUAAAAAAUAAUAAACUGUUCGCUUUACAAGUGAAAUGCAGAAUUUAAGUAAAAAUGAUGUGAGCAACAAGGGGAAGAGAGAAACUUCAUCAUUCAUGGUGCAUGUGGUGAAUGACAAACAUAAUUUCAAAAAGUAGACAUAGGAAAUAAGUUGAUUUUUAAAAAGGUGUGCUUUUUAUCAAACCAAGGUGUGCUUUGUAUCAAACCAAGAAGCUGUGGGGUUCCCAUGUACCCAUUGGCAGUGUGUAGCUUUCAGUGCCAGCUUUCUUUUUUUUUUUUUUUUUUUUUUUCUAUUUUUUUUUUCCAGCUCUUCCCCAAGCCCUGCGUCCCUCCACAUUACAUGGCAGGAGCACAUCCAGGGGGAAGACAGGGAGGCAGCUACCGUGCAGGGCAGAUGAAGUCUCCUCUGAAUCUAUCCCUGCAGCCUGGCCCAUCCUGUCCAUCUACCCCUAACUGUAUAGCCAAUCCAUGUCCUGGAAGCAGUGGAUUUCCUGCAAGUGUUCAGGUUGGCUCCACAACGUGGGCAUCCUGUUAUGUCCAGUUUCGUCCAUUCUGUUAGUCCAGUUUAUUGUGUGGCCAUCCAGCAAGCUGAGUGGGCGCAUGCCUUGAAAGAGGGAAGCUAAAGGCUGAGAAGGAGAGACUGAGAGGUGUGUGUAGCAACAGUACUUUCUCUUGUCUAAUAUUUGUUCUUUGGCUGGUCACAAGGGGACCUUAGCGUGUUCAGAAGUUACUAUCAUCAUUGCAGUUUUACAGGUGGAAAAACCGAGGCACACAGGAAGGUAUAUCCUGCUCAGGGUCAUCAAGUAAAAUCACCACAAAAAGUACUAAGACCAAUCCAACCACUCCUGUUGGUGAAGUUUCAGCCUGGUACAUCAUAUACUCACUAGGCUGUGUCAUACUUACGUGCUGCGGUGAGAAAAACUUGCAAAUAUUAAAAAAAAAUGCAGGUGGGCAAGAGUUAAAAAGCAAAUUCUCCUACCUUGAUUUUUUAUAGUUUACAGUGUUAAAACCAAAGGGACUUGAAGAGAGCAAAGGUCCUGCAUUUGAAUUUCAAUGAACGAUACUGAGGGAGUGGUUGGGGUAUUUUAUAAAUACCCUAAAAAUACCUAAUAGGCAUUCUGCUCUGGACGACUUGAAAGGACCGUAACCUUUCCUACAGUUUAACAACACAUUUCUCCAUAAAACUAACUUAGGAGAAAUUCCCUGCAUUCCCACACUGAACACUUAGCAGUCUUUUCAAACUUAUGAUAUGGCUAUAAAUAUAGCUUAUAACCAUAAAAUUAAGGUUAUGUGGACUUGUAACUUUUUAUUUUAUGCUAGCUCUGUGGGCCACUAGCAAAUUCUACAGGGGUUACUGUCCUGAAGUCUGCAAUGAAUUAUGUGAGUAAGGUAAGAGGAAACAAAACAAAAAAUAGAAAGCAACCCUCUCUCUUUAAACAGACACAUUGGCUGUUUAAGGGGAAAAGAAGGGCAAACAAAGGGAAGGGGAAUCCACCAUGAAAUUCACAACUUAUCAUGCUCUACAAUUUCAAUUUAUUUUGACAUAGAUCUUUGUUCUGUACAGGAAACUUGCUAGCCUACAUGGUUGUGAUUGCACUCAGGGGGUGUUUAAUGGCUAUGGAACAACUGAAGAAAAGGUGAUAGAUCUUAUAUGUAAUGAGUAGUGCUUGCUUGGAAAGCUACUGAUGAGAGUCUGUCAACCUGUGCCAGGUGAAGCCCUAAAGUUUUGCAAAAUUUAUAUAUUUUUUUUUACUGUGAUUGUACUAAAAAAUCUUGUUUUCUUUGUAGCUGUGUCCUUGCAAAUUGUAUUAUGGACUGUGAAGUUACAGAGCUCCUGGUUUCUCCAGAAAAAGUGCACUGCAUUUAUUAUGUGGUUUUACAGCAUGUAGAAGAACUCUGGCUUUCCAGUAAUGUAACUCUGAACUAAGACAUAAUAAAGAUAGUCUGCUUUUUUCAGUAGUGACUACAGAGUCAAGUUGCUUCAGCUUUUAGGUUCCUGAACAGAAACUCUUGAAACACCUCUGCUUUUAAGAAAACAGAUGGGCAGAAUUUUCAGGAAAUCAGUCCCUUCUUAGUAGU
This is a long non-coding RNA of Oxyura jamaicensis (ruddy duck), 6641 nucleotides long. RefSeq lists it as uncharacterized. The record is from RefSeq and is a predicted model, not a curated record. NCBI's taxonomy places the organism in Eukaryota, Metazoa, Chordata, Aves, Anseriformes, Anatidae. The transcript is spliced from 3 exons.